CUGGAGGUAUCAGAAGUGCGAAUGCUGACAUAAGUAACGAUAAAGCGGGUGAAAAGCCCGCUCGCCGGAAGACCAAGGGUUCCUGUCCAACGUUAAUCGGGGCAGGGUGAGUCGACCCCUAAGGCGAGGCCGAAAGGCGUAGUCGAUGGGAAACGGGUUAAUAUUCCCGUACUUGGUGUUACUGCGAAGGGGGGACGGAGAAGGCUAUGUUGGCCGGGCGACGGUUGUCCCGGUUUAAGCGUGUAGGCUGGUUUUCCAGGCAAAUCCGGAAAAUCAAGGCUGAGGCGUGACGACGAGGCACUACGGUGCUGAAGCAACAAAUGCCCUGCUUCCAGGAAAAGCCUCUAAGCAUCAGGUAACAUCAAAUCGUACCCCAAACCGACACAGGUGGUCAGGUAGAGAAUACCAAGGCGCUUGAGAGAACUCGGGUGAAGGAACUAGGCAAAAUGGUGCCGUAACUUCGGGAGAAGGCACGCUGACACGUAGGUGAAGUGAUUUACUCAUGGAGCUGAAGUCAGUCGAAGAUACCAGCUGGCUGCAACUGUUUAUUAAAAACACAGCACUGUGCAAACACGAAAGUGGACGUAUACGGUGUGACGCCUGCCCGGUGCCGGAAGGUUAAUUGAUGGGGUCAGCGCAAGCGAAGCUCCUGAUCGAAGCCCCGGUAAACGGCGGCCGUAACUAUAACGGUCCUAAGGUAGCGAAAUUCCUUGUCGGGUAAGUUCCGACCUGCACGAAUGGCGUAAUGAUGGCCAGGCUGUCUCCACCCGAGACUCAGUGAAAUUGAACUCGCUGUGAAGAUGCAGUGUACCCGCGGCAAGACGGAAAGACCCCGUGAACCUUUACUAUAGCUUGACACUGAACAUUGAGCCUUGAUGUGUAGGAUAGGUGGGAGGCUUUGAAGUGUGGACGCCAGUCUGCAUGGAGCCGGCCUUGAAAUACCACCCUUUAAUGUUUGAUGUUCUAACGUGGACCCGUGAUCCGGGUUGCGGACAGUGUCUGGUGGGUAGUUUGACUGGGGCGGUCUCCUCCUAAAGAGUAACGGAGGAGCACGAAGGUUGGCUAAUCCUGGUCGGACAUCAGGAGGUUAGUGCAAUGGCAUAAGCCAGCUUGACUGCGAGCGUGACGGCGCGAGCAGGUGCGAAAGCAGGUCAUAGUGAUCCGGUGGUUCUGAAUGGAAGGGCCAUCGCUCAACGGAUAAAAGGUACUCCGGGGAUAACAGGCUGAUACCGCCCAAGAGUUCAUAUCGACGGCGGUGUUUGGCACCUCGAUGUCGGCUCAUCACAUCCUGGGGCUGAAGUAGGUCCCAAGGGUAUGGCUGUUCGCCAUUUAAAGUGGUACGCGAGCUGGGUUUAGAACGUCGUGAGACAGUUCGGUCCCUAUCUGCCGUGGGCGCUGGAGAACUGAGGGGGGCUGCUCCUAGUACGAGAGGACCGGAGUGGACGCAUCACUGGUGUUCGGGUUGUCAUGCCAAU
RNAcentral lists this ribosomal RNA (1475 nucleotides) under Salmonella enterica. RNAcentral describes it as "partial 23S ribosomal RNA". It matches the Rfam family "Bacterial large subunit ribosomal RNA", at positions 1273 to 2733 of the family's 2925-position model. RNAcentral also lists the same sequence under 1 other name. The record is from RNAcentral. Lineage: Bacteria; Pseudomonadati; Pseudomonadota; Gammaproteobacteria; Enterobacterales; Enterobacteriaceae.